GGGGAAUAUUGGACAAUGGGCGCAAGCCUGAUCCAGCCAUGCCGCGUGGGUGAAGAAGGCCUUCGGGUUGUAAAGCCCUUUUGUUGGGAAAGAAAAGCAGCCGGCCAAUACCCGGUUGUUCUGACGGUACCCAAAGAAUAAGCACCGGCUAACUUCGUGCCAGCAGCCGCGGUAAUACGAAGGGUGCAAGCGUUACUCGGAAUUACUGGGCGUAAAGCGUGCGUAGGUGGUGGUUUAAGUUAGAUGUGAAAACCCAGGGCUCAACCCUGGGAGUGCAUUUAAAACUGAAGGGCUCGAGUGCAGGAGAGGUAAGUGGAAUUCCUAGUGUAGCGGUGAAAUGCGUAGAUAUUAGGAGGAACACCAGUGGCGAAGGCGACUUACUGGACUGUAACUGACGCUGAGGCGCGAAAGCGUGGGGAGCAAACA
This 426-nucleotide ribosomal RNA is filed under the name uncultured bacterium. RNAcentral's name for it is "bacterial SSU rRNA". It matches the Rfam family "Bacterial small subunit ribosomal RNA", at positions 356 to 774 of the family's 1533-position model. The record is from RNAcentral.